RNAcentral lists this long non-coding RNA (227 nucleotides) under Jatropha curcas. Its description in RNAcentral is "long non-coding RNA (JCUR_LNC002006)". Lineage: Eukaryota; Viridiplantae; Streptophyta; Magnoliopsida; Malpighiales; Euphorbiaceae. The record is from RNAcentral.
UGAAAAUGGAAAUGCUGAAAAUGGAAAAUGUUGGAAGAAGGAAACAAGGAAAUGCCGAAAAAAGGGAAACACAAAAUUUGUAAGAGCAAAACGCUGAGAAAAAAAAGGAAUGCUAAAAAAGUGAAACGCUGAAAGAAGGAAACAAGGAAAUGCUGAAAAAAAAAGGAAAACACGAAAUCUAUAAGAGUAAUCUCUAUAUAGUUUAUGUGAUUCAACCACGAUAACGA